Molecule: ribosomal RNA, 457 nt
Filed under: uncultured bacterium
Lineage: Bacteria
Description: partial 16S ribosomal RNA
Rfam family: Bacterial small subunit ribosomal RNA
Source: RNAcentral
CCUACGGGAGGCAGCAGUGGGGAAUAUUGCACAAUGGGGGAAACCCUGAUGCAGCGACGCCGCGUGAGUGAAGAAGUAUUUCGGUAUGUAAAGCUCUAUCAGCAGGGAAGAAACCCACCCUCCGGGGUGGCUGACGGUACCUGACUAAGAAGCCCCGGCUAACUACGUGCCAGCAGCCGCGGUAAUACGGAGGGGGCAAGCGUUAUCCGGAUUUACUGGGUGUAAAGGGAGCGUAGGUGGCAAGGCAAGUCAGAUGUGAAAACCCGGGGCCCAACCCCGGGAGUGCAUUUGAAACUGUCUGGCUAGAGUGCAGGAGAGGUAAGUGGAAUUCCUAGUGUAGCGGUGAAAUGCAUAGAUAUUAGGAGGAACACCAGUGGCGAAGGCGGCUUACUGGACUGUAACUGACGCUGAGGCUCGAAAGCGUGGUGAGCAAACAGGAUUAGAUACCCCGGUAGUC